RNAcentral lists this long non-coding RNA (18069 nucleotides) under Nicotiana tabacum (common tobacco). RNAcentral describes it as "long non-coding RNA (NTAB_LNC006204)". The record is from RNAcentral. Lineage: Eukaryota; Viridiplantae; Streptophyta; Magnoliopsida; Solanales; Solanaceae.
ACCUCCCCAAACCAUUCAUCAAAAUUACCACCUCCAGCAAACCAUUUCUCGAGCCUCAAGUUUACGUCUAGUUGAGAAGCUCAGUUCAUCACAAGGUGAGGCAUCGAUGAUUUAUUUUCCUUCUGCAGUAUAGACCCUUGUGGUCUGGCCCUUUUCCGGAUCCCGUACAUAGUGGGGGCUUAGUGCACCGGACUGCCCUUUAGUUCAUUUCAUUGUCUAAGAUGGAUAACCAAUAAGAUUUUUUAUAUGGCCUAUUUUACUUCCCAUAUGAAAAAUUGUUCUCAUCAUCUUUUUAUGUUCAAUUUCAGGUAGACAUAAAAUGAACAGUGGAGAUUGGAUGUGUGCUGCAUGCCAACACAUAAAUUUCAAGAAAAGGGAUGCAUGCCAACGAUGCAGCUGCCCUAAAUAUGCAACGUCGGCUGAUGUUGCCAUGUAUGGACUAAACAAAACAGAAGUCUUAGCUGGAGAUUGGUAUUGCAGUGCUAUGAACUGUGGUUCUCACAACUAUGCAAGCAGAACAAACUGCUAUAGAUGUGGUGCCUUAAAAAGUGAUUAUUAUGGUAUCGGGGCAGGAAUGAUGGCAUCAGCCGGCUAUGGAUAUGGUGCAAGUGCUAUUCCUGGUUGGAAGAGUGGUGAUUGGAUUUGCACCAGGUUAGUUUACAUUUACUUCAAUGACAACAACUACUUCUCAAUUCCUACCAAGUCGGGGUCGGCUACAUGAAUCUUGUCGUUCCAUUUAAGCUCAUUCUGGUCCAAUAUUGCAACAACAACAACAUCUGUGCCUUAAUCCGAAGCAAGUUGGAGUCGGCUAUAAUGAAUCUUCACUAAUCAUGUCGCUGAAAUUAAACUCAUUUCAAACAAAUAUUAUAAAAAUAGAAUUUAAAAGUACUAGACGUUUUCACUAUAUUUGUUAAUGGCAUAUAAAUCUCCGAUAAGACUAGGACUCCUAGAAAACAUUGUAUUAUGAGGACUCAUGACAAGAUUGGCUAGUUUUAUGCUAACUGUUAGCCUGCCGCGAUUCUCCUCCUUUUACUACUGACAUACUAUCUUAGGGAUUUAAACUGAAAUAGCUGCCUUCUUGUUUGACAGAUCAGGAUGUGGUGAGCACAACUAUGCAAGCAGAGCUGAAUGUUAUAAGUGCAAAACACCUAGGGAUUUUGGUGAGCCUGAUACUGCAUAGUCGACAUUUUACUUUCCAACACCAUUUUUAUUUACUAACAUCUUGUUCAUUUUUCUGUUUUUCAGGAGGUGAUCUGAGAGAAAGUAACCUAUAUUGAGGGAUGUGGCGACAUGAAGUUAUUACUGAAGAUUUACCAGAACUCAUAAUCUUCAAUGACCCUUCUUCUUUUCCUCUUAGUUUUUCUUUUCUUCCUUUUCUUUAACAGUUUUUAGUAGUUAAUUGCUCAAAGAAGGGUUUCUAUUUCUAACUGCAUUGUAACUGUGCAAAGUGUUCAAUGAAUGAAAUCGCUUCAGAUUUUGCAUUCUUUCUGUCUUUCAAGUUUCAACAACAGCAUUUGUAGGGGUGGUCCAGUGAAUAAUGUUAUGUAGCCUCACAAUCACUAUGGAAGACAAUGUUAGAGUAUGCUCGAGCCUUAUAAAUGGACAAAAACAAUAAAAGAUAGUAGGCAUAUAAAGAGACCAACCAACUCUAAAUCCUAAAUCCUAAAUCCAGUGUUGUUGACUGUGGUUUAUGUGGCUUAUGUGAGUGUUCCCAACUUCCUUUAAACAACAAGAAAUUGAUCUCAGUUUCAAACUAGUUGAGAUUGCGUAUAUGAUCCUCGCAAUCCAUUUUGUCUCAUUUGCAUUUCACUCCAUUUUGGGGAGAAAACAAAGGAGAAAUCAUCACUCUUUUGCCUUAAGAAGAAAAUGAAAAGAAAUUUCUUUGGAUGUGUGAGAGUAAGGGGUGGUGGUGUUUCAACUUGUUUCCAAUUCACCGUCCCAAAAAUGAAUGUUACUUAGGUGCACAAGAUAUACAUUGACCAUUAUGGAAGCUGGUUCAGUACACUCGCGAAAAUGUGGAUGCAUGUGUCUUUGAGAAUCAAUACUCUUUUGUCAAGCUGAAGCUUUUGCAAUUGGCACUAAAGGUAGUUCUGCUAUAUUGUUAGUCUGUUACAAUGUACAUGACUAAACAUUUGUAAAUUUUGUAGGUUCUACUUUGCAAGUAUAUGUAUAACUAUGAUUGAAACUAUCAACGGUGUCAUAAGCUUGUGCUUGUGGGACAAAGAGUAUCACUUUUGCUACAAAAUUCCCCCGGCCAAAUUAAAAUAGAGUACUGGUCAUUGUUGUUAACAGUUUUGACUGGAAGAUCAGCUUUAUCCGCAUUCAUUUAUUUAAACGUUCUAGAUAUCAGGGAUUAAAACUUAGUUGACUAAAUAUUAGUUUAGUCGACUAGAUUCUGCACAGUGAACACUUAAAGAGAAGUAAACCAAGCAAACUGAAAGAUAACAGGACACAAUAAUUUUUAUACUGGUUCAGUUCCGGUGAGGUGUACUUACAUCCAGUUUUCCUUGGGUCAUAAGGGACUUCUUAGAUCUUUGAUAAUAGGUUAUAAUGAUGAUGGUUUUGGUUCGCUCACCAUCAACAACAUUCAAUGAUAAUGGCUUUUGUAAUGUUGACACAACUCUCUUUUUGUAUUUUAUCUCUUCCUAUCUUUAAUGACACUUGUAGACUCAAGAAUACAGUAUUUGUACUAAGAAUUAGAAAGGUUUAGAAUCAAUUUGUGUAGUUGCGCAUCCAAUCCUUGAUUAUGCCAGUCUUCUUAUAGACCAGAUUUUAGAGUUGUUGUUGAUUUGUUUUUGAUAUUUGAUUCAUGACUCGUGCCUUUAAUUCCUUCAAGAAGGAUGGGCUGGAUUUAAUAAUCUAGGGAGUGCUCCAAGCCGAGAUCUAGGGAGUGCUUCCAUGUUCCAUGCUUUGUCGAAGAAAGGAAUAGUUGAUGGGCUGGAUUAAUUUAUCGAGGGAGUGCUUUCCAUGCUCCAUGCUUUAUUGGGUAGAGGAACAACACUUUAAGUUGUCUCCCAUUACAUUGUAUUUCCCUUCCACUUUGAAUCUUCCUUCAUAUAGAAUCUGCUAUUUUUAUUUACAUGUGAGUUACAUGUAAGGCAAUAGUUCAAGAUACAUAGCCAUUGAGUGGAUCUUCAUUCCUUUUUGGCAAUGCUUGCUUCACCUGAAUCUGCAUACACUAAUAUAACGUUAGUCAAGACUUCUUUAUGGAUAUUUGAUCAUUAUUAAAAUUCUACAUUUAAUAAUCUCCCCCUUUUUGAUGAUGACAAUAAGCUAAAAAGAGUUUGACUAAUUUAUGGAUACUUCCCUGUUCUUUUCAAGUGUACUCCCCCGACUUUAAGCUGAUUUUUGAUUUGAUUUGAAUCUGCAUCUGCACUUUUCUUUUCAAGUGUGCUCCCCCUGUCUUUAAACUGGUUGUUGAUUUGAAUCUGCACUUAAGAAACUUGUAGUUCACCUGUAAUACACCUGUAACUCUUUUUCUUUCUUUCUCCCCCUUUGACAUCAAUAAAAAAAAUAGGAAAAACUACUUGCAGUAAUAGUACUAGCUAAGCAGGCAUAAAAUUUAUACAGCUAAGCAGGCAUAAAAUUUGUACAGCUAAGCAUUUAUAAUGAGUAUUAGUUAACUAAUGCUCACCCCAGACACAGCCAAAAGAAAAUAGUCUUAAACUAUCACACAAAGCAAAAAGGAUUGUCUUAAGCAUUCCUAAACAUUCAAUGCCUCCCAAGGAAAUAUUUCAGGGUGCUGAUCACUUUAGUGCAGAAGCUUUCAUAAGAGGUAUCAAUGUCUUUGGUGACUUUGGUUAGCUUCUCAGAAACAUCCUGCAUGACCCUGAUUUCUUGCCUCCUUGUGACUUGAAGAGUGAUCCUAAGUUUGGCCACAUUUGCCGCGAUUUCCUUGGUUACUUCUUUGAUCUUGUCCACCUGCUCUUGUAUAGAGGUUAGUAAAUUCUUGAUAUCUGCAAUGUUGUGCUGCAUCAGCGUCAGUUGGUCUGAAGAAGAGGAUUUGUUGGCUUCAGAUUUUAGUCCUCCACUGCUUUGAGUAGGGAUGACUUCUGAUACUUUGUCCUUUUUAAGCCAGGUUCCCUCAAUUAAAGUAUACGCCACCAUGGCAAAGGCAGUCUUGUCAUAGGUGCUGGAGAUAAUCUUUGGAACAUAGAGAGAUAGGUCCACUUUCAUGACUUUCAGGAUGUGAGAAGCUAGUAGACCAUAAGGCAGGUUGCUCGCAGAAGAGGAAACGUCCCUGAUACUUUCAAGCAUGUAUUGACGUACCCAGGCAAACCAGUUUAUAGCUUUACCAUUUAUCAAACAAUAGAGAACAAAUACAUCUCUGAGAGACAAAGUACUGAGUGAACCAGUACAGGGUAGCAAAGUGGUUGCGAUAAUGUGGGCUAGAACACGAUGUUCAAACUUCAAGUUCUUAGGACCUAUAUCAGGGGGGUUUUCAGACAGAACACUUUUGGCCUCAUCAAAAGAUACUUCAAAAUUAUCUGGCUAGGAAUAUUGCACAAAGAAGUUGUAUCUAACAAACUUUGUGGCAAAGAUUUUUUUCAAACUAAUAAGAAUCAAGGAUAAUACGAGUUCCUAAGACCAUGGUUUCUAGAUCUUCUUUAUCAUUCACAAAAAGGUUUGCAUAAAACAUGCACACAUGCUCUUCAUAGAUAGUAUCACCAACAGUAGCAAAUAGGGAGGCAAGUUUCUGAGUUUCAAAAAUAGACAGAACAUCACAGUGAGAGUUUUGCAUAGACUUUAAUCUUACAGUACAACCAAAUGAAAUUGACUUUCCUUUGAAGGCGACAAAUCUAGCCUUCUCUUCAGGUCCAUAGAAAAUCAUCUUGUCUUUAGGACCAAACUCAAUAUUUUUAGUUUUUCCCUUUUUCGUAGAGAAUUGUUUGGGGAUAGAUUCUAUUGGUCGUUUUCCUUCCCACUUUUGAGAUAUGAGGAUUUCUUCUUGAGAGCCACUUGAUUCUUCUUCUGUGAGUAAGUUGUCUGUGCUUUCGGAGGAUUCGAUAUCAACAGGAUCAUCUUUGGUUUUCUUGAAUCAGUGGCUUCUUUUGGGUAAGGAAGAGGAGGGAGAGGGUUUUGCUUUGGCCAUGAGUAAGAGAAAAAUAGAGAGAGAGAUUUGGUUCCUUUGAGAGAAUGGGAGAUACACUCGAGAGAGUAAGAGUUAAAAAGGGAAAUAAAGGAUGCCUCGAUUUCUGGAGAGACGUAUGAAAGACAAUUGAAAAGUUGCCUUCUGCAAAACUACACCGUCAGUUCAUCAUGAAUAGAAGUGAAGACUAAUUAAGUACUAAGAGAUUUUUUGGCACAAACAAUAACAUACAUGGAAUUAAAUAAAAGUAAUUAUGGGAUACAUUAACCAUGGUUAUGAGGGAAUAGUGCAAAUGCCAGUUUUGUUCAGAAGAUAAUGAAAUCUUUCUUCAAGUAAAGGUUUUGUAAAAAUAUCCGCCAACUGAUUUUCAGUAUUAACAAAUUCUAACACAAUAUCUCCUUUAGCAAUAUGAUCACGUAUAAAAUGAUGCUUGAUCUCAAUAUGCUUAGCCCUAGAAUGAUGCACAGAGCUUUUUGAUAAACAAAUUGCAUUAGUAUUGUCACACAUAAUCGGAACAGAAUUAAGAUGUAAAUCAAAAUCUAAACAGUUGAUGCAUGAUCCAUAGCAUUUGUGUGCAGCAGUUGCCUACUGCCAAAUAUUCAGCUUCUGUGGUGGAUAAGGCCACACAGCUUUGUUUCUUGCUGUGCCAGGAUACAAGAGAUUUUUCAAGUUGUUGACACGUUCCACUUGCGCUUUUUCUAUCAAAUUUAUCUCCUGCAAAAUCUGCAUCUGAAAAACCUUUGAGAUUGAAAUUUUUCAGACUUUCAUACCAUAAUCCAUAGUCGACUAUUCCUAUCAAAUAUCUGAUAAUAUGUGUAACAGCAGUCAAAUGAGUCUCUUUAGGAGCUGACUAAUAUCUAGCACAUUUGCAAACACUAAACAUAAUAUAUGGUUGACUAGCGGUAAGAUAGAGUAAUGAGCCAAUCAUACCUCGAUACAUUAUUUCAUUAAUACUCUUACCAUUUUUGUCUUCAUCCAAAGUAGUCAAUGGACUCAUAGGUGUUCCUAUUGCUUUUGCAUUGGAUAUACCAAACUUUUUGAUGAGUUCUUUCGUAUAUUUUAUUUGACUAAUGAAGAUUCCUUUCUGUAUUUGCUUGAUUUGAAGUCCAAGAAAGAAAGUUAAUUCUCCCAUCAUACUUAUUUCAAAUUCUCCUUUCAUGAUAUUUGAGAAAUUCUUGCACAAAACAGUAUUAGUACUGCCAAAAAUAAUAUCAUCUAUAUAAAUCUGUACAAUUAAGUUACCUAGAGAUGAUCGUUUGAUAAAAAGAGUAGUAUCAAUAUUACCUCUAUCGAAUCCAUGUUUAAUUAGGAAUGAGCUUAAUGUUUCAUACCAGGCUCUAGGAGCUUGCUUAAGGCCAUAUAAAGCUUUGGAUAAUUUGUAGACAUGAUUAGGAAAAGUUUCAUUUACAAAUCCUGGAGGUUGCUUAACGAAAACUUUCUCAUAAAUAAAUCCAUUCAAGAAUGCACUUUUCACAUCCAUCUGAAAUAGUUUGAAACACUUAUGAGCAAUAUAAGCUAAUAGAAUGUGAAUGGAUUCUAACCUGGCAACAUGGGAGAAAGUCUCCUCAUAAUCACUCUCUUCUUGUUGUGAAUAACCUUGAGCAACUAGUCUGGUUUUAUUUCGCAUGACUUGUCCGGAUUCGUUCAACUUAUUUAUGAAUACCCAUUUUGUUCCAAAAAUCAUUUGGUGGGUUAGGAAUGAGUUUCCAUACUUUGUUAUUCUCAAAUUGAUCAAGCUUUUCCUUCAUUGCAAUUAUCCAGCUUUUGUCACCAAGUGCUUCGUCCACCCUUUUUCUGUUCAAGUUGGGAGAUGAGAGCGAUAAUUGAUGUCUGCUUUAGAGAUCUUCUUGUCUUCAUCCCUUCCUGAGGGUCUCCAAUGAUAUACUUAUGAGGAUAUUCAGGUUCACUUUUUCAUUCAUUUGGGAUGACUAAUUCUGACUUUUUUUCAGUUGAGUUAGUUGGACCGAUCAAAGUGCACUCCUGGUUUUCUGUAAGAUGCAUAGUCGACUGAUCUUGCUAAUCAAUAACUUCAUCAGAGGCAAUUCCACUUGUAUCGAUAGACUUUGGCACUAUGGAAAUUUUUUCAUUUUCAGGAAGAUGAUCAUUCUUCAAAUGAGGGUUAGUAUCCACAAAAAUAACAUGUAUAGAUUCUUUAAUAGAUAAAGUACGCUUAUUAAAAACUCUAUAUGCUUUACUAGAGGGAGAGUAUCCGAUAAAAAUACCUUCAUCGCUUUUGGGAUCGAACUUAGCAAGAUUAUCUUUUUCAUUGUUGUGAAUAAAACACUUACAACCGAAGGGAUAAAAAUAACUGAUGUUGGGUCUUUUUCCUCUCCAUAGUUCAUAUGGAGUCUUCUUGAGUAUUGGUCGAAUAAGGCAUCUGUUGAUGAUAUGACAUAUUGUACUUACGGCUUCUGCCCAAAAGUAGUGUGAGAGAGAAUUUUUCACAAUCAUGGUUCUUGCCAUAUCUUAUAGAGUUCUGUUUUUACGUUCUACCACUCUAUUUUAUUGUGGCAAUCUUGGAAAAGAGAAAUUGUGAGAGAUCCCUUGAUCAUUGCAGAUGUUCUCAAAAGCUUUGCUUUUGAAUUCUCCUCCAUGAUCACUUCUUAUGGAGGAAAUGUAGUAACAUUUUUCACGCUAUACUUUCUUGCAAAAGACUUCAAAGUUUCGUAGAGCUUCAUCUUUGUGACUUAGAAAAAUAACCCAGGUGAAUCUAGAAAAAUCAUCUACUAUAAUAAAAGCAUAUUUUUUACCACCUAUGCUAGCAGUUCUAGUAGGUCCAAAAAGAUCCAUAUGCAAUAGUUGAAGAGGUUUUGUAGUGGAAACAACCUUUUUGGCUUUAAAUGAGGAUCUGGUUUAUUUUCCUAGUUGACAUGCAUCACAAAUUAGAUCUUUCAAAAAAUCUAGUUUUGAAAGACCGAUAACAAGAUCGUUUUUAGAAAGAUUAUGAAUAGUAUGCAUGCUGGCAUAACCAAGAUUUCUAUGCCAUACCCACGGGUCAUCAAGAAUGGAAGCUAGACAAAUUUGAUUACCAACGCUUUCCAAGUUGCUGAUAGUAUAAACAUUUUUGUCCCUAUUUCGAGAGAGAAUAACUUUACCUGAUUCAUCUUCAAUAAACCAACCAUAUUUUUUAAAACGAACCUCGUAGUCAUUGUCACAUAGUUGACUAAUGCUGAGAAGAUUGUACCCAAGUUUAUCAACCAGAUAUACUUUAUCUACAUCACAUGUUGAGCUGAGAGGAACUUUUCCAACGCCAAUUACAUUUCCUUUUGAUUUAUCUCCAAAUGUAACUGUUCCUCCAUCUAGUCUGGUGAUAAUUUUGAAUAAUUGUUUGUCACCAAUCAUAUGCUAGACCACGCGCUGUCAAGAUACCAUUUUUCUUUUCGAUUCUUCUUGCGGUGUUCCUGCAAAAUAAAAUUACUUGUUUUUAGGUAUCCAAUCCUGCUUGGGUCCUGAAUGGUUAGACUUCUGAGUGUUAUCUUGACUAACAGAUUUAGGUCGCCAGACCUAUCUCCUGUCUUUGAUCCUAUAACGGUAAGAAGUAUGACCAGGUUUUCCACAAUAAAAACACAAUGGAUUUUUUUGAUUUUUAGAGUCCCUUUUCUACUCUGAUUCUGUUCCUCCAUUGGUUAGUAUUGUGACCAUUUUUACCACAAUAAGAGCAUCCCUGAGAGUUUCUAGUUCUAAUCAAAGAUGUAUGAGGAACAGUCUGAUUUGAUUUGAUAGAACUAUGACUUGUGGAUUUUAGUAAUCCAUUCAGUUGAAGUUUAAGUUCAUUAACUUCAUCUUGAAGCAUUUCACGCUCAAUUUCACACACUUCCAGCUUCAAGGCCCAAUCUUUCUUUUCUCUUUGGAUUUUUCUAAGUUCAUUUAAAACUCUUUCAAUAUCUGCAAGAGCAAUAUCAACAAAUUCUUGAAGUUUAUAACAGUUGGGACAUGUAGGAAGACGUACCUCACUGGUUCCCUCGUCUACCAUUAGACAAAGUUCGCCGGUAUCUUCUUCCUCAUCUGCUCCUUUGUCUUCCAUGAGCCCAAGCUCACCUGAGUCUUUAUUGCUAUCUUCUUUUAUGAGCAUGAAACACAUAUUUGCAAUUUCUUCAUGGUCAGAUUCUUCUUCAUCGCUCCAUGCUCCAAAGGACUUCUUCUUUUGAAAGUUCCUGCUUGGCUUUUUGUUCCGUUCGGGGCAAUCAUCUUGAAUGUGUCCCACAUUCAUAGCAUCUUACAUCAUUUUUAUUAUUUUCAUUAUUCAUCCUUCCUUUUCUGAAGUUUGAUCUACCUCUCCUGCUAUAUCUGAUUUUCCUCAUCAUGCUUGUGACAACUUGGGAGAGUAUGGCUAUAUUUUCAUCUUGUUCUCCUCCUUCCUCUUCUUCUUCAUUUUCUGGUUCAGCAACAGUUGCUUUAAAGGCAACCGUUUUCUUCUUUUCUUGAUGAAUUUGCAUGUCCAAGUGAGUUUUCUCAAAGGUAAUUAGAUCACCUCUAAGUUCAUCAUAGGACAUUUUGUCAAGGUCCUGACAUUCUAGAGCAAUAACUUUGGGCUGCCAAAUUGUGAGUAGACUUCUAAGAAUUCUUCUGAUAUGUUCUCCGCUUUUGAUUGGUCUACCAAGAGAUUUUAGAUCUCCAAGGAUUUUGCUGAACCUGGAAAACAUUUCCUCCACUAAUUCUCCAUUUUUCAUUUGAAAUAGUUCAUAGUCACGAACUAGAAGAUUGAUCCUUGUUUCUUUUACCUUGUUGGUCCCUUCAUAUGUCACUUCCAAUUUAUCCCACAUAUCCUUAGCAGUUUCACAGCUCGAAAUCUUUUCAUACUCUUCUCCACUGAUAGCAUUAUACAUAAGAUUUUUUGCUUUGGCAUUCACAGUUAUGACAGCAACAUGUUCAUCAGUGUAAUCAUCUAAGUCAAGUGGGUCAGUUGAUACUAUGACUUGACCAUUCUCAUCUUUCUUUGAUGGAGUUGGAAGAUUUUCCUUUUUGAUCACAUGCCAAACUUUGAUGUCAUAUGACAUAGUGUAUGUUUUCAUCUGAACUUUCUAGUGAAAAAAGUGUUGCCCGUUGAAAUAUGGAGGUCGUACCUGAGAGGUCCCCUCUUGAAAUAAUGCACUAACGACUGUGUUUGAUCCCAUGAUCUUUUUCUCACUAGCUGUUAAGCAAAGUUUGUGAGCCUUGCUCUGAUACCAAUUGAAAGUACAAGGGGAGGGGGGGUGAAUUGUGGUCAAUUAAAACUUAGUUAACUAAAUAUGAGUUUAGUCGACUAGAUUCUGCACAGUGAACAGUUAAAGAGAAGUAAACCAAGCAAACUGAAAGAUAAUAGGACACAAUAAUUUUUAUACCGGUGAGGUACUUACAUCUAGUUUCCCUUGGGUCACAAGGGACUUCUUAGAUCUUUGAUAAUAGGUUACAAUGAUGAUGGUUUUGGUUCGCUCACCAUCAACAACAUUCAGUGAUAAUGCCUUUUGUAAUGUUGACACAACUUUCUUUUUGUGUUCUAUCUCUUCCUAUCUUUUAUGACACUUGUAGACUCAAGAAUACAAUGUUUGUACUAAGAACUAGAAAGGUUUAGAAUCAGUUUAUGUAGUUGCGCAUCCAAUCCUUGAGUAUGCCACUCUUCUUAUAGACCAGAUUUUAGAGCUGUUGUUGAUUUGUUUUUGAUAUUUGAUUCAUGACUCAUGCCUUUAAUUCCUUCAAGAAGGAUGGGCUGGAUUUAAUAAUCUAGUGUUCCAAGCCGAGAUCUAGAGAGUGCUUCCAUGCUCCAUGCUUUGUCGAAGAAAGGAGUAGAUGGGCUGGAUUAGUUUAUCCAGGGAGUGCUUUCCAUGCUCCAUGCUUUAUUGGGUAGAGGAACAAUACUUCAAGUUGUCUCCCAUUAUAUUAUGUUUCCCUUCCACUUUGAAUCUUCCUUCAUACAUGAUCUGCUAUUUGUAUUUGCAGGUGAGUUAUAUAUAAGGCAAUGGUUCAAAAUACAUAGCCAUUGAGCAGAUCUUCAUUCCUUUUUGGCAAUGCUUGCUUCACCUGAAUCUGCAUACACUAAUAUAACAUUAGUCAAGACUUCUUUAUGGAUAUUUGAUCAUUAUUAAAAUUCUACACUUAACCGUCAUUAGUUUAUCAUUCAUCAGAUGAAGUCAUAAAUUCCUAAUAUAUAGAGGAAAGAAAAUCCCUUGCAAAGGGAGCACUGUUGCAGGCUAAAAACCUUGACUUAAACUGGUGUUUCCGUUGAUGUUUUGAUGUAGAAACUAUAAGCUGAGCACACAAAUGAUAGAAAGGCAUGUAGGAGAGAUAUCUGGUUUGAGUUUGAGAUAAAUGAGGCAACUGCAGUAACUAGUAGCUGAGAUAAGAAUUUAGUUUGAGAAUGUUCAAAUGAAUAACUAGCUAGCUAGUUUCUUGCCACCUAUAACCAAGAUCCUGGAGCAUCUGUUAAGAAGUCAAAGGAGAAAAGCUCCUGGCCUCUGAUACUUUUGCAGCUGUGGCUACUCGUUGCUGCAUUGCUUGACAAUCGAUAAUUGGCUUACUUUUCUAAGAUGCUUCUUACAUCAAGCAACCCAAUCAUUAAACAUAAUGACCAUAAAUAUCUAAAUAACUUGUCCCUAUACGGUUAUCUGUGGGCACUACAAAUGCUAGCUAAACUGAUUUUCUGGCUUUCUACGAUUCUUGUUUUACCACUACAAGUGAUCUUGUUUAGAACCCUUUAUUCUGAUGAGAUAUAAGAGAGCAUCAACUCACUUGUCAAACCAAGAUCUUGCUAAAAGUAGUGGAGAACCCCAGCUAAAACAGUUUUAAGCAUUAUUUUGGCUAUAAUGAACACAUCCAGAGAGGGACAGCGCAUCUGCAAUCAUUCUUCUUUCUCUUAUGGUCACUAUCAUCAAUAUUGUUAUUAAAGGAUGAGUUGUUUCCUUUUUGAAAUAACUCGCUUGUAUAGAUAAGAAAAAUAUAUCUUAAUUAAGCACUAUUAGGGAAAAAAGCACAAGCUAAAACUUACCUUCUGACAGCACAAUAGGAAUAUGCAAAAUUCAAAAGCAACGGCUAUUUUUAUCAUUACCAUUAUGAUGUAGAUUCUGGCAAGUAUUAUUGAGGAAUAUUGGCCCCCUUUAUAGAAUGGUCACGCAUAUAGAAUAAAGGAUGAAACUUUGUCUGAGGUUCAUCUUGUCUGGUUAAAAAUGGUGAUUAGGAUUCCUCCUUAUCAAAUCCUAUGUCAACACUCGAGCUUCUGCGCUUAGGUGGAAUCAGCUACAGUUUCCAUGUCAGCAUUCACGGUCCCAAUAACUGGUCAAGCGACUUCAACUCAUUGUCAAUCUCGGAUUACUCUUGAUUUGCUUCACUAUGAAAACCAUGUUAUGUGUUUGUAUGAGAGGCCUGGAUUUUUUUCUGUGACUCAUCAAUGACCAUAGAUUGUGUAAUAUUCACUCAUUUCUUGCCACUUAUAACUGUGCGGAGAGUUUGUCAAUUCUUGGAUCUUUGCUUGAAAACUCUUACCAAUGCAUAAUAAACUAUCCCUUUAGUAAGGGAGUUCAGAUAUUAGCAUUCUCCUUUUAUGGCUUUUGAACCAAGGAAAAGUUAUAGUAUAACCUUACAAUCCUUUUCCUUUUAUGAAAAGAGAGAGAUCACUAAACUGAUUAUUGUCAAAGAUGGUUAACCUUAUAACUUAUCAUAAAAACAAUUACAGGGCUUCAAAGUCAUAAAGUUCAAAUCUUGUGCCAUGCAUCACAUUCAGAAUCUUCAGAGAAUUGAUGAAAAACAAAGGUAAACGUCGUGUGAUUGUAUACCUUAAUACAUUGUCUCAGGUACCAGUCAAGAAAGAGGUAUUUCUCUUAAAAUUGAUAUAUUAAAUACUGUCAGGAAUAACGCAACUCUCAUGUUUUGUUCCGAAUUAAUGUAUCACCUGUCUGUACCGAUAAAAGCUGUUAACAUUCUUAGCAAUCUAUUUGGUGAAACUAAGGACUGGUCUGAUAAUAUCUAGAGUGCUCUGAUUUCUAACACAUGCAUGACUAAACAGGAGAUGAAAAGAAGUCCACUUUUGAAUUAUUAAGAAGAAUAUUACACAAUAAGAAUAAUAGGACUUGAAUUUGCAUUAUGAGGGAAUUGAUUCCUUGGUGGUAAACUUUGUCACAGUUUUUGCCCCUUUAGAACCUGAACCAUUUUCCACCUGAACGACGUUAGCCUUCGUGUCAGGCAGUUGCUUGCAUUGGCAAUGUGGAUUACACACACUAAUCUAAUGUGUAAGCGUGAGAAUCCAAAUCAUCUCAAGGGUCCAUCUAUCUUAGCAAGAUCACGCGGUAAAAUAACCCCACCUUUCACAUAACAUCUUCCCCUCAUAACACCUACUAGAAAUGGAUACAGAACAAAGAAUAAUAUUUUGAGGAGCUCCUUUUUAGUAGAAUAAUGGACAGUCGAACAGGUAAGGAGGGGCAUUAUUGGACUUCUGCAAGAAAAUAUGCUUCACAUGCAUGAAUAUGACAGUCGACAACUUUAGAGAGCCAUACCUCUACAGUCAAUAAGGAAGGAAAGUAGUUGGUUUAUCCAACUCUUUUUUGGAAAAUUUGCGCUAUCUUGUGGAAUCUCAUUUAAGGAAACUGUUUGAAGUCACAAAACAGAUCAAAAAGUAAACUUUGGGCCCCAAACAAUGAGGUCUUCCAACUAUAUAUACCUCCCCAAACCAUUCAUCAAAAUUACCACUUACAGCAAACCAUUUCUUGAGCUUCAAGUUUACGUCUAGUUGAGAAGUUCAAGUCUUCAAAUUAUCAAGGUGAGGCAUCGAUGAUUUAGUUUCCUUUUGUGGUUCAUUUCAUUAUUCUUCCAGCUUCUACACAAAAAAGGAAGAAAAAUACAAUAACUUUAGUCUUGAGUCCAAGUUUUUCAAACAAACUAGGCCCUUAAAUACAAGAUUAAUGUGCUGCGAAAUUUUUUCCUAGAAUGAAAUAACUGUUCAUGUGUAAGCAAUGCAGUUCUAGCAUAUAGAACUGAGACCUUGUUGACUAUAACCAUGUAUAGAAUGAGGCCUCAAAGAUGGAUAACCAAUAAGAUUUAAUGGCCUAUUUUACUUCCCAUAUGAAAAUUUGUUCUCAUCAUAUUUUCAAGUUCAAUUUCAGGUAGACAUAAAAUGAGCAGUGGAGAUUGGAUGUGUGCUGCAUGCCAACACAUAAAUUUCAAGAAACGGGAUGCAUGCCAACGAUGCAGCUGUCCUAAAUAUGCAACGCCGGCUGAUGUUGCCAUGUAUGGACUAAACAAAGCAGAAGUCUUAGCUGGAGACUGGUAUUGCAGUGCGAUGAACUGUGGUUCUCACAACUAUGCGAGUCGAACAAACUGCUAUAGAUGUGGUGCCUUAAGAAGUGAUUAUUACGCUGUUGGGGCAGGAGUGAUGGCAUCAGCAGGUUAUGGAUAUGAUGCAAGUGCUAUUCCUGGUUGGAAGAGUGGUGAUUGGAUUUGCAGCAGGUCAGUUCAUAUUUACACAUUUCAUUUCCCAUGCAGUUCACUUACUCUAUAACAAUAACUACGCCUCAAUCCCGAGCAAGAUAGGCUUAACUGUAUGAAUCCUAAAGGUUAAUGUCUCUCCUUUUAAUCUCAUCUCUGUCCAAUACUGCAACAACACCAUCACUACUGUCCAAUAUCGCUCUAGUUAAACUCAUCUCAAACCAACAAUAUACAAAAUAAAAUUAAAAAAUACUAGAAGUUUACUAUAUUUUCUACUGGCAUAUAAAUCUCUGAUAAGACUAGGACUCCUAGAAAACAUUGUAUUAUGAGGAAUCAUCACAAGAUUGACUAGUUUUACGCUAACUGUUAGCCUGCCGCAAUUCUCCUCCUUUUACUACUGAUAUGUGCAGGUGACAUACUAUAGUUGGGAUUUUAACUAACAUAACUUCCUUGAUCGACAGAAUUGGAUGUGGUAUGCACAACUAUGCAAGCAGAGAAGAAUGUUAUAAAUGCAAGACACCUAGGGAUUUUUGUGAGACAUCUUCCAUGCGAUUCUGAUACUUCCUAUCAAUAUUUUACUUUCCAACACCAUUGUUUAUUUACUAACAUCUGUUAAUUUCUCUGUUUUUUAGGAGGUGAUCUGAGAGAAAGUGGAUUAUAUUGAGGGAUGCGGCGACAUUAAGUUAUUACUGAAGAUUUACCAGAAAUCAUAACCUUCAAUGACCUUUCUUCUUUUCCUUUUAGUUUUUCUUUUCUUGUUUAGUAGUUUCCUUGUAGUUGCUCAAAGAAGGGUUUGUAAGUCUAACUGCAUUGUAACUUUACAAAGUGUUCAAUGAAUGAAAUCCCUUCAGAUUUCGCAUUCUUUCUGUCUUUCAAGUUUCAACAACUGCAUUUGUAGGGGUGGUCCAAUAAAAUAAUUUUAUGUAUCCAAUGGAAGGAAUUGCUAGCGUAGGCUCGGGCCUUAUAUGUGUAAGAAAAGAAUAAAAGAAAGUAUAUAUAUAAAGAACCAGACCUACUGACUCUAAAUCCUAAAUACAGUGCUGUGGACUGUGGCUAGUGGCUUAGGUGAGUCUUCCCAACUUACUUUAAACAACACUUGUCACACCUCCUUUUUCUCGAUAGGGAUAGGGGAUAGGGGAUAAGGGAGUUUUUUUCAAUUUAAGUGACAUUAUUCGAAUUGAGAUUAUUUUUAUUUUUUUCAAAGUCGUCACUUGGAAUAUUUAGGGUGUUCCAAGUCACCGGUUUAUUUUAAAUCCCAAAUCGAGAAAAUUUGACUCGGUUUAUGUUCCGCAAACACAGAAGACCAGGUAAGGAAUUUUGUUAAUCCGAGAAAAGGUGCCAGACACUCGCGAAUUUCAUGAUUUUAGCACGGUCGCUUUAAUCAUACCUGGUUUAAUUAGAUUGUUUUAUCACGUAUUUUAAAACCUAAGUGCAUUUUACCUUUUACCGCUUUUAAUUAUGGCGUUUAUGGAUUUAAUCUUUGAAACAGACUACAUGUGUGUAAGUCUGCUUCGUUUGGGGCACUAAAAUCAUGUCACGCGAACGUGUACACAAUUAAUUGUGCUUUAUUAAUUUAAGAUUGUUUGGUCGAAGUUGCGCGAACGCAUACCUCGAUUUAAUUUUGGAUAUCGGGAUCACGUCACGCGGACAUGUACGCAUUCACGAUAGUAGUUUAAAAUCCGUGCCUAAAGCAUUUCUACGAGUGUUUAAUUAAGUCAUUUUAUUUACUAAGAUUGUUUGACCAUGAUCACACGAACAUGUACCUUGGUUUGUUUUUGGCAUCACAACUAUGUCACGCGUGCGUGUACAUGAUUGUAAUAAUUAAGUUGAUUAUAAAUACCUUGAGUUAUGCUUAUGUCUCUAAACUAAAUAUUCUAUGUCAUAUGGCUAAGUGUAAAGGUUUAAUACUAGGUGAUAUGUUUGUUUGUAUUAGAUGGGGGCAGCCUAUGUAUUAUCUGUCAAACAGGCCCAGAUUUAAAGUUUGAGGCCCGAUGAGGAUUGAGUCCAAAUGAACUUUAGCCCAAGACAUAUAUUUUCGUUAUUGGGCUUAGCUAAUGGAUUCAGUUCAAAAGGAUUUGGGCUUGUUUGAGUCUAAUUGACUGCCCAAUGCAUAUUUUAAGGCAGCUAAAUGAAUUCAAUCCAAACGAUUUGGGCCUAGUGAUCAUGGAGUCCAAAUGACUCUGGCCCAAUACCAUGUUGUUAAGCAAUCAAUCAAUUAAACACAUUUAAUUCAGAAAGAUCUAGGGCUAAUGAUGAGUCCAAAUGACUGUGACUUAAUGUUCAAUUUUAUAGACAACUAAAUGAAAUUAACUAAAGGCAUUUGGGCUUGGUGAUAAUGAGCCCAUGUGACUUUGGCACAACUCAAUGUUAUUAAGCAUUCAGUCAAUUAAACACAUUUAAUUCAGAAAGAUCUGGGCCUGAUGAUGAGUCCAAAUGACUCUGGCCCAAUGUUCAUUUUUAUGGACAACUAAAUAAAAUUAACUAAAGAUAUUUGGGCCUGGUGAUAAUGAGUCCAUGUGACUCUGGCCCAGUGCAUAAUUGUGUGAAUGAGUUUGAAAUUAAAAUUUAUAACAACAAUUAUCAGAUUUUACUUAUAUUUUGUUUAUCUUUUAAAACAGAAAACUAAAAAGGGUCUGGGGACACGAACCAAAAUUAAAAUUGGAUAAUUUCCUAUUAAUUGCUUAAAUCUCCUAUUUCUUAUAUUAACUUAUGUUAAAGUGAUAAGUUUUAAAACUCAUUUGCAUUUGAAAAUCUUAAAGUGUAAAGGCCUUUAAUCAACUCAUUUUUAUUAGCCAAAGACCCAGAAUACAAUCUUAUGGACCCAAUUGAUUUGGGCCUGAAUUCGUACCUUGAUUACUGUUAGGUUGCUUGUAAAAUCCAGCUUUUUAUGAUUUUAAACUAAUAGCAUUGGAAUUAGUAUAUUUUAAUUGUUUAAUAACAUAGUAAAGCUACUAACUAACGCAUUGCAUGAGAGGAUAUAAUAUAAAACAAAAUUAAAUUAUUACAUCUCACUAACAUGGACAGUGAUAACAAAUCUGUCUACUACUAAUCUAACAAAUUUUCUAGAAAAAAGAAAGAUUUUCUCUUUUUAACUAUUCGAACGUACCAAUCUUAUGACUAUAUGAAGCUUUAAACAGAUUUUAUAAUUUUUUCAGAACCCUUUAAAAUGAAGCUAAUAUAACUUAAAUUGCCUAAAACAGUGUAAAUAAUUAACUCUACAUGCUUUCAUACACAACUCUCAACCAAACAACUUCAAACAAUAUGAUUCAUGCAGUGCUCAGAUGAAGUAGAAAUUCUUGAUAACCAGCAAAAAUAAAACUUUACAUUGUUAAAAGAAAAUACCUUGAUAGCAGCAAGCAAACUACAGAUAAGAAAAUAAGUAUCUGAAAGCUUGAAGUAAAACAGCAGCAAUAAAACCCAAUAGAAUAAGAAGACGACCAGAUUUUUAAAAAUAGGAAAGGAAUGUAUAUUUUUGAUUCUCAAAGAUCAAGGUUGAUUUUCAAAAGUUUUUCUUUUGAAAGAGAGCAAAAUCUUAAGGCAGUCUAUAUGUGUCCAUAAUGUGUCUUCAUAUCCUUUUCUAAUGAAGAAAG